Molecule: long non-coding RNA, 671 nt
Organism: Penaeus chinensis
Lineage: Eukaryota; Metazoa; Arthropoda; Malacostraca; Decapoda; Penaeidae
Exons: 3
Source: RefSeq, a predicted model, not a curated record
CAGAAUUCGUGGGCUGUUUGUCAUUAUCGACCUGAAGACAACAGGCGACUCACCGUUAAGAUGAAGUGCAUCGUCUUCGCUUUUUUGCUUCUGUCGGCGUUGAUCGUGAUAACAGAAGCUCUGCCACAGAGAUGGAAGGGAGAUACGGACGUCCUUCGUUUUCCCACCGGACCUUUCAAUCCGGCUCCGUGCAUCUGCGUGACCCAGCCAUGCCCUUGCGACGGAAACAGCUGGCCUCCCUUUGACUUCAGAACACGGCAGCAGUAAUUGUGUCACUCUUACGUACUGCAUCCUAACCUAAACAAAGAUAUGCAACAUCCGGAUUAUUUUUUUUUUUUUUUUGGAGGGGGGGGGAUUUGGUAAAGUUGCAAAACAUGGAGGAUUAUUAAUCUCUCGGGAUUUUGAUAUACCUGCAAAACAGGUGUUGUUUUUUUACUCUAGGGAGUUUUGUAUAUUUGCAAUUAUGCAAUGAACUUUACCUGUUUAUCCUGUUUUUAUUUUUGCAUUGGGGUUGAUGAUUUGAUACUUAUGAGAUUAGAUUGCUUGCAAUGCACAAAAGUCUUGCAAGAAUGUAGAAAUUGUAUGUCUGGAAUUUUGUUUCUUGUACAAGCUGUGUGUGAAAUAUCAAGAUGUAACCUACAAUAUCAGUCCAAAUAAAGUUGAAAUUUUGA